Long non-coding RNA from Sinocyclocheilus grahami, 358 nucleotides. RefSeq lists it as uncharacterized. Lineage: Eukaryota; Metazoa; Chordata; Actinopteri; Cypriniformes; Cyprinidae. The record is from RefSeq and is a predicted model, not a curated record. The transcript is spliced from 3 exons.
UACAUUCAUCAGCUCCACGUACGUUCCCAGUGAGGAGAAGGUUUAUUUCUUCUUUAGUGAGAUUGGAAAAGAAUAUGACUUCAUUGACAAGUUUACAGUGUCUCGCGUUGCCCAAGUUUGCACUAGUGAUGUGGGAGGCCAGCGUACUCUGCAAAAACGCUGGACCACAUUUGCCAAGGCUCAGCUACUAUGUCAAGCUGAACAAGAGCUGCCAUACAACAUCCUGCAGGACAUUGUCAGCCUUACGCCACCAGAGGGCGCAUCUGAGGACCAAACUCUAUUCUAUGGGAUUUUCACUUCUCAGUGGCAAGUUAACUUGGGUCGCUCAGCCGUGUGUGCUUUCAGCCUCAAAGACAUU